Molecule: ribosomal RNA, 548 nt
Filed under: uncultured Glomus
Lineage: Eukaryota; Fungi; Glomeromycota; Glomeromycetes; Glomerales; Glomeraceae
Description: SSU rRNA
Rfam family: Eukaryotic small subunit ribosomal RNA
Source: RNAcentral
UUGGAGGGCAAGUCUGGUGCCAGCAGCCGCGGUAAUUCCAGCUCCAAUAGCGUAUAUUAAAGUUGUUGCAGUUAAAAAGCUCGUAGUUGAAUUUCGAGACCGGCUUAUUGGUCGUGCUUUUGUACGUACUGGUAUAAUCGGUUUCUCCUUUCUGACGAACUAUAAUGCCAUUAAUUUGGUGUUAUAGGGAAUCAGGACUGUUACUUUGAAAAAAUUAGAGUGUUUAAAGCAGGCUCACGCUUGAAUACAUUAGCAUGGAAUAACGGAAUAGGACGUUUGAUUCUAUUUUGUUGGUUUCUAGGAUCGACGUAAUGAUUAAUAGGGAUAGUUGGGGGCAUUAGUAUUCAAUUGUCAGAGGUGAAAUUCUUGGAUUUAUUGAAGACUAACUACUGCGAAAGCAUUUGUCAAGGAUGUUUUCAUUAAUCAAGAACGAAAGUUAGGGGAUCGAAGACGAUCAGAUACCGUCGUAGUCUUAACCAUAAACUAUGCCGACUAGGGAUCGGAUGAUGUUAAUUUUUUAAUGACUCAUUCGGCGCCUUACGGGAAAC